ACAGGGAUUGCCCCAGAUAACGGCGAGUGAAGCGGCAACAGCUCAGAUUUGAAAUCCGGCCCCCAGGGCCCCGAGUUGUAAUCUAGCAGGGGAUGCCCCUGGCGCGGCGCCCACCGAGUUCCCUGGAACGGGACGCCAUAGAGGGUGAGAGCCCCGUAUGGUGGGAUGCCUAGCCUCUGUGGGGCUCCUCCGACGAGUCGAGUAGUUUGGGAAUGCUGCUCUAAUCGGGAGGUAAAUCUCUUCUAAAGCUAAAUACCGGCCAGAGACCGAUAGCGCACAAGUAGAGUGAUCGAAAGAUGAAAAGCACCUUGGAAAGGGGGUUAAACAGCACGUGAAAUUGUUGAAAGGGAAGCGCCUGUGACCAGACUCGCGCCGGGCGGAUCAUCCAGCGGUCUCCGCUGGUGCACUCCGCCCGGCACGGGCCAGCAUCGGUUUCCGCGGGGGGACAAGAGCGGCGGGGACGUGGCUCCCCCGGGAGUGUUAUAGCCCGCCGCACGAUGCCCCCUCGGGGACCGAGGUACGCGCUCCGCAAGGAUGCUGGCGUAAUGGUCACCGGCGACCCGUCUUGAAACACGGACCAAGGAGUCGUCCAUUACGGCGAGCGUUUGGGCGUCAAACCCCUACGCGUAAUGAAAGUGAACGCAGGUGAGAGCUUCGGCGCAUCAUCGACCGAUCCUGAUGUUCUCGGAUGGAUUUGAGUAAGAGUCGUAACGGACGGACCCGAAAGAUGGUGAACUAUGCCUGUAUAGGGUGAAGCCAGAGGAAACUCUGGUGGAGGCUCGCAGCGGUUCUGACGUGCAAAUCGAUCGUCAAAUAUGGGCAUGGGGGCGAAAGACUAAUC
This 841-nucleotide ribosomal RNA is filed under the name Calosphaeria pulchella. Its description in RNAcentral is "LSU rRNA". It matches the Rfam family "Eukaryotic large subunit ribosomal RNA", at positions 68 to 936 of the family's 3401-position model. Lineage: Eukaryota; Fungi; Ascomycota; Sordariomycetes; Calosphaeriales; Calosphaeriaceae. The record is from RNAcentral.